Apis florea (little honeybee) is the source of this 4625-nucleotide long non-coding RNA. NCBI's taxonomy places the organism in Eukaryota, Metazoa, Arthropoda, Insecta, Hymenoptera, Apidae. The record is from RefSeq and is a predicted model, not a curated record.
AUCAAUUAUUAUAAUGAUUUUAAUGAAAAAAAUUUAAUAAUUUAUUUAUAAAUAUUUAUUAAAAAUAAAAUGGAAAAAACAGUCAUGCGCAGUUUGUCACGAACCUCAAUAGUACAUGUGAUCGGUAACAUCCUAGCGUGAAACCGGUGCAAUUGUAGUCACGUGAUAACGAAUAGCUCACAAUUCUCAGGACAGAUGCCGUUGCAAUCUUGAGAACUGCACAAUUUGGCAAAAACAUAAAAAGUGAAGUGGAUAAACAGCAAAGUUAUGUUGAAUUCAUUGGAUUCUAGGUGCGGUCGCGACCAAAGAUCCGUUAUGAUCCCACCUAAUGCAAACGCUCCAGCGAGUAAGAGGAUCGCAAACUUUAAACAUCACGUUUUAACUAGUACUAUACAUGUACACAUGUCAUAUGAUGGAAUGAUGUUUUCUUCUAUCAUUUAAAGAAAUAUCCAAUAUUACUAUAAAUGUUUAUAGCUGCAUAUAUUAGAAAUACUUCUUCAGAAAUUUACUUAUAUAUAUUAUUUAUAUGAUAAAGGUCAUCGGUUGUAUUUAGAAAAAAAUAUUCAAGUUUAUCAUUAAAGAGUAAUUAAAGAGUAAAAAUAGAAAAUCAAACUGCAAUUUGCUAUCUUUUAACAUUUUCACGGUUCAAAUUUCAAUAUUUCAAUGCAACAUCGUUAUACUUGAGAAAUAAUCGCAACAAUGUGCGUGAUUCAAAGUAAAAUUACCCAGCUGACUAGAUAUCCAGCUGACAAUUAUUCGAGUUUUCAUCUUUACGUAAUCGUCGCGAUCGCGCGUGGCCACAAACCAUAGGAUAGGCGAGGCAAGAAGAAAGAGGAAGCGAGAUAUCGGAUUUAGGCCGCCGUUCCAAACAACAAUAUAUAUGUAUGUAUGUAUAUAUGUAUGUAUGUAUAUAUGUAGAGGUGAAGCGGUCUCUGGACUAGGCAAGCCGAGCGAAAGAGCUGUGGCAAGGUCUAGGCUGGCUAGCAUUCAAGGUCGCAUGCACAGCGCAAAAGCCCCCGGAUCUAUCCCCGCUCCAGAUUUCUAGCGCCCUUUGCCUCUUCACCUUCUUUGUCGCUCUCACAUAUGCGUACACACAUUUUACUUUCCUCUCUCUUUCCCUCUUUCUCUCACUCCUCUAUCGUUUCUCCCUUCUCCUCGGUCAAUCGAGUCUCUUCUUGCUCUUUCCUAUAACACACUCUCGCUCCCUCCUCUUCCCCUCAUUCCAUCCUCUUCCCUCUUUCUCUCAGCCCCUUCCUAAUCGCCUGCUAUUCCCCUCUCACGCCGCUUUGCCCUUUCCGCGUGCAACAUCGAUUUACUCAUAAAAAUUCCCCGCGUUCAACUUUAUCACUCGUCUAUUACUUCCUGGUCGAUGUUCGACGUCUCUCGUUCUCGAAUUUAUCGUUGUAAUAAAUGCAACAAAAGCAUGAUCGAUUCGUGGGGUAAUUUAGCAGCAAUACCUGACGUUACUUGAGUUGCUUAUUUACAUGUCUUCUCAUGCAUUCGCAUAUACAUAUAUGCGGAGUAGGCACGUGUAUUAUUGACACGCGCGACUUGCCAGCUAGGUAUAAAGAGGAACAAGGAUGUGCUGAGUCUAGUAAAGAAACGGAAUCUCUGACUCGCAAGCGCAAACUAUUCAAACUUGCUUUAUCCCGCAAUCUUAUACGAGUAAAGUAGUAACAUGGAAUGAAAAAUAGUUUUAUGGAAUUUAUCAUUAGUUAUAAAUAAAUGGUUCAUUUAAAGAUGCUUGUAAUUACACAAAGAUCAAAUCCAGCGUAUAAUUAUAAAUAUCAAGUAAUUCAAUUUAUGCGUACAACUAUUAUGAUUGAAUAAUGUUUAAAUGUGAUGUUGUUUAUUAGAAUAUAGAGAGAAAUUCAAUGAUUAAUAUCAAAAAUAUUAAUAUCAAAUCUUUAAAUGUUUUUACCUCUUUAUAACUAUGAAUAUUGCAUAUUGCAUUGCAUAUUGCAUGUUUAUUAUGAUAUAAUUUAAUAAUAGAUAACGUUUUAUUUAUUUAUUCUCAUUUAUUUGUCUUUUCCUCUCAAAAGCAGAAAGGAAACUGAGUAGGAUGUUGGAUAUCUCCUCUUCGAGCACAAUACACAACUUGUUGAAAUUUACUUGUAGCAAACAAAGGGCCAAUGUAUAUUAUCAUGACAGUACCUUCAAAAGUGGAAUUUUCAUCCAUAAGAAACAUUAUAAGCGAGAUCAAGUUUAUUAUAACGUAUAUAUAUAUAUAUAUAUAUAUCACUUCAUUUGAAUGUGAAUUAUUUGUUAUGGAAAUUCUUAGAGAGUAGAAUGCCAGAAUAUAGAUUUCGCCAUUAUUUACCUCUCAGAUCUGCUCUCCAACAAAUUUCAACCAAUAUUCUGAAUAUACUUAAUCAAUGUAGAUAUUAUAGCCGCGAUGUUCCAACACGAUUCCAUAUAUACCGUUGACCUAGAUUAGACAUUAAGCGAAGAGAUUCGCAUUCCCCGUUUCCCUCCAAGCAUGAUGCCUUUGAAAGAAACAGAUACAUCAACGCGCGUUUUAUAACCGCGAAACGAGUCCUGUGAUCCGAGAAACAGGCGUAGUAGCAUUUUAGCGACGCAAAAAAUGCGAGGUGAAACUAGAUUUCCGAGUAGGUUAAUAUGGAAGCUGAGCAAAGAAUUCCUUGUCGCAGGACUCGCGUCGACCACUCCCAUGGAGGAAAAAAAAUAGAGACAGAAACUGUAAGAAACGGAGAUGGAAGAGGAGAGGUGUGAAAUAGAGUGUGUGGAAUGAGUCUGUGAAAAAGAGAGAUCAAUAAAUAAUUUUGAACUAGUGAACGGACAGAAAGCCAUCGAUUGAAAUUUUCAUCAUGCUUUCGCACGCGCAUGUUCGUUCAAUUAUUUAUUCACGGAAUAGCGAGCGGACAAGCGGGCGUCGUUGUUGGCGAGCAAACGAGCGAGCGAACUGUGGGGGGAAGGAGGGGAAACGAGAAAGAAAAAAAAGAAAAAACAAAGAACAAGAUCCAAAAUUUUCAGACGUUGUGGAAAGUUUCGUUGUAACGUCAUCGAAAGGCUAAUGCCGCUCCUCCCCGCGAUACCGUUUUCUUUCUUCGCAGUUCUUCAAACUUGGCGAAGAUAGCUCGGUAUACAACUAAUUUCACAUUUAGCGUUCACGCGUCGAAUUUAAACUAACACGUGAUCCUCGCCGCGUUAUUAUUAGGUGUACCAUAUAAAGCGUAGCCGGUGGUUUCUAGCGAAUUUCUGUUCCGGCCGUUUUGUGUUUUAAUAUCGCUGGCGUUCACGUUCGCGUCACCGUGGCGUCCACGCGCUUUAAAAUUCAUUUCACGAAGUGCAGCAGCGUCGGGUUUGAAAAAGGGCGACGCACACGUCGUCGUCCUCGACGUUUUCAACGGCAGGUUCGCGUUACACAAGCGCGUGGAAUUACAAUAUCGGAUUUCAUUUUCCGUCAUAGCAGCGUAGAUUUCUCGGAGAAAGAGGCGGAACGCUCCCAAGUGAAAUUUGCCGCGCGGUGAACGGUUUUGCGCGAUCACCGCUUCUCCUGUCCUCGUUUGGAGAGGACAAGUAGUAUAUUCUAUACUAACAACAGAGCUAGGAUGCCUAGCCGUUUCCUUUGACCACGAUAUAGUUGGUUGAAAAUGCUUUCAGAGGCGUGGCCGAGCAGCGAUGUAUCCGGAGAAGAGAACACUCGUUUAUGAAGCUGUCUUGGAAACGGGAGUCGGCCUCCAAAUCACGAUUAACCAUCCAUUUUUCUCACGACCACUAUACGCGUCGUGAUCAACACAAUUUUUCUAACCUGUUGAACACCGAGUGGCAAACGGCAAUGAUAUUCAAUGCAAUUCAAGACAACGCUUAUCCUCUCCGCUCAACCGGCCUGUAAAAGGGAAUCUUUGUCAACUCGCCUCGUUAUUCGUCUGCUCGCUCGAAGACCGAUACACCGACGCAUAAAUGCGUGCAUUUUUCGUACGGUAUCUGAAUCCGCAUUCAUGGGAAGAGGAUACGAUGAUAUGGAAGCGGUGUAUUCAGCCAGGAAUCAGCAGGUUGAAUUCCGUAGAAAUUUUCGUGGCUUUCCCAACGGGCAAUAACGUGGAUUCGGCCAUCGUUUAUCACCACUUGUAGCUCCAUUCUGGCCGACCAAACCGUUCCCUCGCGAGGGAAGAAGACACGAGGACUGAACCAUCCCGUUUCUGCGACGGUUGUUUAGCCGGGUCAUGACGCAUGUACAUACCCUCUUUCAACCCCUUAUUUUCAGACCGUUUUUCCAGGUAUCGUUACCAUUAUCUUCUCUCGUCACCGCUGCUAGUAUCUCUUCCCUUUCUUUUCUUCUUUUCUCUCUCUCUCUUCUUUCAUCUCCCUUCUCUCUCUAUUUUCCUCUGCUCACUUUCCGAGCGAAUUGAGGGCUCGACGACGACGACGACGACACGAAUACGCCUGUGUAAACCGUCCCAUUCUCCUGCACCCAUGUAUACCUAUAUACAACUGCUGUUUCCCGACGUACGAGGGAGACAGUGGUCUGGCACGCGACUCCCGUGGCUUCCUCCACGUUCCCAUUCUACUUUUGCUCCAUCGACGCACAGCUGAUCCUUCCUCCCUCUGGUGUCUGGCCAGAUACCAUCCUCACCCUAGAGGGGGAAAAAAGAGAAAAGAGA